RNAcentral lists this ribosomal RNA (406 nucleotides) under uncultured bacterium. RNAcentral describes it as "partial 16S ribosomal RNA". It matches the Rfam family "Bacterial small subunit ribosomal RNA", at positions 29 to 526 of the family's 1533-position model. The record is from RNAcentral.
AUUGAACGCUGGCGGCAGGCCUAACACAUGCAAGUCGAGCGAGCGGCGGACGGGUGAGAAAUGGACGGGGACCUGCCCGCCAGUAGGGGAUAACUACUGGAAAAGGUGGCUAAUACCGCACACUAUCGGAUGAACCCAUAUGGGAUUAGCUAGUAGGUGGGGUAAAGGCUCACCUAGGCGACGAUCUCUAGCUGGUCUGAGAGGAUGAUCAGCCACACUGGGACUGAGACACGGCCCAGACUCCUACGGGAGGCAGCAGUGGGGAAUAUUGGACAAUGGGCGCAAUCCUGAUGCAGCCAUGCCGCGUGUAUGAAGAAGGCCUUAGGGUUGUAAAGUACGUUCAGCGGGGAGGCGUUACCCGCAGAAGAAGCACCGGCUAACUCCGUGCCAGCAGCCGCGGUAAUAC